UAAGCGGGGUAUGAAAGCGUGUGGCUCAACCAUACAGCUAUAUCCUGAACUGCUAAGCUAGAGAAUGAGAGAGGUAGCUGGAAUUCCUUGUGUAGGAGUGAAAUCCGUAGAUAUAAGGAGGAACACCGAUGGCGUAGGCAGGCUACUGGCUUAUUUCUGACACUAAGGCACGAAAGCGUGGGGAGCGACCGGGAUUAGAUACCCCGUUAGUCCACGCCGUAAACGAUGGAUGCUA
This 235-nucleotide ribosomal RNA is filed under the name uncultured Candidatus Saccharibacteria bacterium. Its description in RNAcentral is "partial 16S ribosomal RNA". It matches the Rfam family "Bacterial small subunit ribosomal RNA", at positions 584 to 818 of the family's 1533-position model. Lineage: Bacteria; Candidatus Saccharimonadota. The record is from RNAcentral.